AAACCUCUCAUAUUCUUGUACAACCUGAAGUGAUAGAUGAGCAGUUGAGAGACACUGGUAAUGGCUAAUAUUGAAUUUCCUACCAAACUAGCAGCCUCUAAGUUCUGACAACACUCAAUUCAAUUCAGAGAAAGGUCCUCUCAAGAAAUGGAAGCUUAUGAAACCAAGAAGUGGGAG
This 177-nucleotide long non-coding RNA is filed under the name Mustela putorius furo (domestic ferret). RNAcentral describes it as "lncRNA (ENSMPUG00000027822.1)". Lineage: Eukaryota; Metazoa; Chordata; Mammalia; Carnivora; Mustelidae. The record is from RNAcentral.